Molecule: ribosomal RNA, 497 nt
Filed under: uncultured bacterium
Lineage: Bacteria
Description: partial 16S ribosomal RNA
Rfam family: Bacterial small subunit ribosomal RNA
Source: RNAcentral
GAUGAACGCUGGCGGCGUGCCUAAUACAUGCAAGUCGAGCGAACAGACGAGGAGCUUGCUCCUCUGACGUUAGCGGCGGACGGGUGAGUAACACGUGGAUAACCUACCUAUAAGACUGGGAUAACUUCGGGAAACCGGAGCUAAUACCGGAUAAUAUAUUGAACCGCAUGGUUCAAUAGUGAAAUACGGUUUUGCUGUCACUUAUAGAUGGAUCCGCGCCGCAUUAGCUAGUUGGUAAGGUAACGGCUUACCAAGGCAACGAUGCGUAGCCGACCUGAGAGGGUGAUCGGCCACACGGGAACUGAGACACGGUCCAGACUCCUACGGGAGGCAGCAGUAGGGAAUCUUCCGCAAUGGGCGAAAGCUUGACGGAGCAACGCCGCGUGAGUGAUGAAGGUCUUCGGAUCGUAAAACUCUGUUAUUAGGGAAGAACAAAUGUGUAAGUAACUAUGCACGUCUUGACGGUACCUAAUCAGAAAGCCACGGCUAACUACGUG